This 376-nucleotide ribosomal RNA is filed under the name uncultured bacterium. Its description in RNAcentral is "bacterial SSU rRNA". It matches the Rfam family "Bacterial small subunit ribosomal RNA", at positions 523 to 898 of the family's 1533-position model. The record is from RNAcentral.
AUACGGAGGGUGCAAGCGUUGUUCGGAAUUAUUGGGCGUAAAGGGCGCGUAGGUGGUUGUGAUAGUCAGAUGUGAAAUCCUUCGGCUUAACCGAAGAACUGCAUCUGAAACUUCAUAGCUCGAGUACAGGAGAGGGAAACGGAAUUCCCGGUGUAGAGGUGAAAUUCGUAGAUAUCGGGAGGAACACCAGUGGCGAAGGCGGUUUCCUGGCCUGAUACUGACGCUGAGGCGCGAAAGCGUGGGGAGCAAACAGGAUUAGAUACCCUGGUAGUCCACGCGGUAAACGGUGAACACUAGGUGUGGGAGGUGUAAUACCUUCUGUGCCGAAGCUAACGCGUUAAGUGUUCCGCCUGGGAAGUACGGCCGCAAGGUUGAA